GGAGUGUCAAAACGUUGGGUCUUAAUUACAAUUCAACUGGACUUUGUAAUAAUUUAUUUAAACCAGAUUAGCGAGCGAAACAUGCUCUCAGUUAGUUCUAUGAAAAACAUGUUAACUGUACAGUUUCCAUUUGAAAUGUCCAUCUACAAAAAUCCAUGAUCAGUCUGCUAUUAUUGCCUUACUAGAGUAGGCUGUUGAUUGUCUCCUAUAUUUAAUAUUGUCUAUUUGCAACAUUCUGCAAUCCAUCAUAUUAUACACAUGCAGCCAUGAUAUCAUCAAUCAAACUUUGAACUUAGAACUGCAUUCAAAGAAUGUUAUCGAGCGUAAGAAUAUAUCAUUAUAUGCUAAAGCAAAUUGUAUUUCCUGUUACAAUACUGUAUACCUUUUAUAUAGAGGGAC
Molecule: non-coding RNA, 399 nt
Organism: Paramuricea clavata
Lineage: Eukaryota; Metazoa; Cnidaria; Anthozoa; Malacalcyonacea; Plexauridae
Source: the annotation of a GenBank genome assembly